This 894-nucleotide ribosomal RNA is filed under the name uncultured organism. RNAcentral describes it as "SSU rRNA". It matches the Rfam family "Bacterial small subunit ribosomal RNA", at positions 570 to 1478 of the family's 1533-position model. The record is from RNAcentral.
CGUAGAUGGAUGUUUAAGUCAGUUGUGAAAGUUUGCGGCUCAACCGUAAAAUUGCAGUUGAUACUGGAUACCUUGAGUGCAGUUGAGGCAGGCGGAAUUCGUGGUGUAGCGGUGAAAUGCUUAGAUAUCACGAAGAACUCCGAUUGCGAAGGCAGCCUGCUAAGCUGCAACUGACAUUGAGGCUCGAAAGUGUGGGUAUCAAACAGGAUUAGAUACCCUGGUAGUCCACACGGUAAACGAUGAAUACUCGCUGUUUGCGAUAUACUGCAAGCGGCCAAGCGAAAGCGUUAAGUAUUCCACCUGGGGAGUACGCCGGCAACGGUGAAACUCAAAGGAAUUGACGGGGGCCCGCACAAGCGGAGGAACAUGUGGUUUAAUUCGAUGAUACGCGAGGAACCUUACCCGGGCUUAAAUUGCAGAUGAAUUACGGUGAAAGCCGUAAGCCGCAAGGCAUCUGUGAAGGUGCUGCAUGGUUGUCGUCAGCUCGUGCCGUGAGGUGUCGGCUUAAGUGCCAUAACGAGCGCAACCCUUGUUGUCAGUUACUAACAGGUUCCGCUGAGGACUCUGACAAGACUGCCAUCGUAAGAUGUGAGGAAGGUGGGGAUGACGUCAAAUCAGCACGGCCCUUACGUCCGGGGCUACACACGUGUUACAAUGGGGGGUACAGAGGGCCGCUACCACGCGAGUGGAUGCCAAUCCCCAAAACCUCUCUCAGUUCGGACUGGAGUCUGCAACCCGACUCCACGAAGCUGGAUUCGCUAGUAAUCGCGCAUCAGCCACGGCGCGGUGAAUACGUUCCCGGGCCUUGUACACACCGCCCGUCAAGCCAUGGGAGCCGGGGGUACCUGAAGUGCGUAACCGCGAGGAGCGCCCUAGGGUAAAACUGGUGACUGC